GGGACCUGUACCCCCAAAAUCCUUUUCUGGUUUCCUAAUUAGCUACACCUGCAUACAAGCAAUCACACCUGAGUCCCAUUAACCAACCAUGAUGGAGAGGGAAACUUUUUAAAAGGGCUGCACUGGCCUUGCUGUGUUUUUCAGGUACUUGAUUUGGUAGCAGGUGACAGAAGGUGCAGAGUUUGCUGCUUCCUACAGCUGAAGCCAUGGGUUUUCUAGUAAUAUGGUGCAUGCUGUUCUUGUUAGUUAUGGGAGGACCUCAAAUAAAUGAUCAGAAGGUGCUUGUUGCAGAUGAUCGAUUGGAUUUAAGUAGUCUUAACUCUGGGAAUGACACUUUGUAUGGCAGUGAGACAUUUGGAAAUCAUACAUCGCCCUUGAAUACAAAUAACCACAACACAACUAUGUCCUCCACUAACCAGUAUCACUCUGAAUCUGAAACCCUAAAACAGAAUGGCUCUGUGUCCAAAGAACCAAAGUCUGGUGUUCAGCCCCUACCAAAUCCACGGGCAUCUCAACCACGUCAGUGCAAACCCAAACAGUCACAGGUGCCCCAGCAACAACUAAAAGCUUCCUGCCCACCCAAGAAGCAGCCUUCAUGCCGACCCUGUCCGCCCCAGGGGUCUAGCUGCUGGCCCUGCCCACACAAGGAGCAGUCUGUCUGCCGGCCUUGCCCAACCUUGAGCUGCCAGCUAAAGCAGCCCCAAAAGCCAGAGUUGUCUGAGCAUGUUGGUGACCCAGCACUGUAUCAGCCUCAGGUGACCCAGCAGACUGGUUUGCAUCCACCCAGUCUACAUCAGGUGACCCAGCAGACUGGUUUGCAGCCACACCAUCCACCCAGUCCCUCUCAGGUGAGCCGGCAGCCUGGUGUGGAUCCACCCAGCGUCCCUCAGGAGAGCCGGCAGCCUGUUGUGCAUCCACCCAGCGUCCCUCAGGAGAGCCGGCAGCCUGUUGUGCAUCCACCCAGCGACCCUGAGGAGAGCCGGCAGCCUGUUUUGCAUCCACCCAGCGACCCUGAGGAGAGCCGGCAGCCUGUUUUGCAUCCACCCAGCGACCCUGAGGAGAGCCAGCAGACUGGUGUGCCUCCACUCAUUACGCCUCAGGUGACCCAGCAGAAUGGUUUGCAUCCACCUCAUCUGCCUCACUUACCACAGCAGACUGGUUUGCAUCCAUUCACCCAGUCUAUCUCAGGUGACCCGGCAGACUGGUUUACAUCCACACCAUCUACCCACUCUAUCUCAGGUGACCCAGCAGACUGGUUUGCAUCCACCUCAUCUGCCUCACUUACCACAGCAGACUGGUUUGCAUCCACACCAUUCACCCAGUCUAUCUCAGGUGACCCAGCAGUCUCAUUUGCAUCCACCCAGUCUAUCUCAGGUGACCCGGCAGACUGGUUUACAUCCACACCAUCUACCCAGUCUAUUUCAGGUGACCCAGCAGACCAGUUUGCAUCCACACUUUCAACUUCAGGUGACAAAGCAGACUGGUUUACAUCCACAGCAUCCACAUCAGGUACCCCAGCAAACUGGUUUGCAUUCACACUCUCUGCCUCUGGCAAUGCAGCAGAAAGGCUUCCCACCCCUGCAUCCUCAGCCACCACAGGGCCCUCAGCAGGCUGCCUUUCUGCCCCAGCACCCCCAUCCACAGGUUCCCCAGCAGGCUGUCUUUCCAUCCCUGCACCCCCAUCCGCAGGUGCCCCAGCAGGCAGUCUUCCCGCCCCUGUACCUCCAUCCGCAGGUGCCCCAGCAGGCUGCCGUUCUGCCCCUGUACCCUCAGCCCAUGCCUCAGCAGACAUAUUACCAAUUCAAGCAGCUUCUGGAAGCCCAAUGGCCCCAACGGCCACUCUACCAGCUCCAGGCCAAGCAGCCACGCCACCAGCCUUUCAUGUCACACUACCAAUCCCGAUUGCCAAGCUACAGUCCCAAGGUGCCACUGUACCAGGCCAAGAAGCUUCAGCACCCCCGCAGAUCAGAUACCAACCUUAACGAUUUCAGAGCUUCAUGUCGGCACAUCAUCCUUGUGUUGAAGAAGAACCUGAGGGGAGCAGGGCACUGCAGUGUGGAACCCGCUGGACUAUUGGACUGACCUUUCAAAUGAACGUUUAGUUUGUGCUUUAGUCUUGAAUACCUGAUGUUUUGUAUGAUCUGUUUGAUGCCAAGUUUCUGAGAACCUUUGAAUGUUUUAAACAUGAAUCUUGAGGUUUGGUUUAGCUCAUGUUUUUGUUGUUGUUGUUUUUGUUAAGCCUGUGCAAAAAAUAAUCCACAUUCAACCAACACACCAGUGCUUUUCUCAGAUUUGUAGAUAUUCUUUGGUAAAUGGUGAAAAGCUGAUACCAAAACAGUCUCUGCAUUCUUUGAGAAACGGAUGUUGCAUCAUAACUGUUGUGACACGGGGGUUUAUGGUACCCACAUCCAAUCUAUUUAAGAUUUUUCUCUAUUUUAUGAUUGUGAUUAAUGGUUCUUAGAGGUUCUUUAGAUUUAUAAAGGUCUUAAAUUAGUGCACCUGUUUAGUAUAAGCUUGGUGGGGUAAGUGGGACCAGGUGCCCAGUUUCCCCAUGAAGCAGCCAAACAUUUAAAAUGCAAGUAUACCAAGCUGGGAGGCAGCACGUGCACAAGAAGCUACUGCAAUCUCUCAAUUUUUGCUCAAGCUGCAAAGCUGCUGGUGUCUGCUUUCCAGGUACAGCUUAAAUACUAACCAAAUCUGAAAGAGCACUGGACAAAGAUGGGAGUGUGUGUGAUUAAACUUUGCAGAUUAUUUUUAAUCCCUGUAUUCUCACUGUAACACUGAACAUGCCUAGUUUCUGUCAUUUGAACCAUUGUCAUCUGAAUUUGUCAUAUUAAAUUAAUAUAAAAGGUACUUUCUGCCAUCUUGACACUUAAUCUAUUUUUAGAAAUAACAUGCAUGCUAGCUGCACUGCAGUGAAGCUGCUGUGAGGUUUCUACCUAAAUAUAACUGACACCCAG
Molecule: long non-coding RNA, 2960 nt
Organism: Oreochromis aureus
Lineage: Eukaryota; Metazoa; Chordata; Actinopteri; Cichliformes; Cichlidae
Source: Ensembl